Molecule: ribosomal RNA, 1003 nt
Filed under: uncultured bacterium
Lineage: Bacteria
Description: bacterial SSU rRNA
Rfam family: Bacterial small subunit ribosomal RNA
Source: RNAcentral
GCAGCAGUGGGGAUAUGCACAAUGGGGGAAACCUGAUGCAGCGACGCAGCGUGCGGGAUGACGGCCUUCGGGUUGUAAACCGCUUUCAGCAGGGAAGAAGCCUUUAUCGGUGACGGUACCUGCAGAAGAAGUACCGGCUAACUACGUGCCAGCAGCCGCGGUAAUACGUAGGGUACAAGCGUUGUCCGGAAUUAUUGGGCGUAAAGAGCUCGUAGGUGGUUGGUCACGUCUGCUGUGGAAACGCAACGCUUAACGUUGCGCGUGCAGUGGGUACGGGCUGACUAGAGUGCAGUAGGGGAGUCUGGAAUUCCUGGUGUAGCGGUGAAAUGCGCAGGUAUCAGGAGGAACACCGGUGGCGAAGGCGGGACUCUGGGCUGUAACUGACACUGAGGAGCGAAAGCAUGGGGAGCGAACAGGAUUAGAUACCCUGGUAGUCCAUGCCGUAAACGUUGGGCACUAGGUGUGGGGGACAUUCCACGUUCUCCGCGCCGUAGCUAACGCAUUAAGUGCCCCGCCUGGGGAGUACGGUCGCAAGGCUAAAACUCAAAGGAAUUGACGGGGGCCCGCACAAGCGGCGGAGCAUGCGGAUUAAUUCGAUGCAACGCGAAGAACCUUACCAAGGCCUGACAUACACCAGACCGUUCUGGAAACAGUUCCUCCCCUUUGGGGUUGGUGUACAGGUGGUGCAUGGUUGUCGUCAGCUCGUGUCGUGAGAUGUUGGGUUAAGUCCCGCAACGAGCGCAACCCUCGUUCUAUGUUGCCAGCACGUAAUGGUGGGAACUCAUAGGAGACUGCCGGGGUCAACUCGGAGGAAGGUGGGGAUGACGUCAAAUCAUCAUGCCCUUUAUGUCUUGGGCUUCACGCAUGCUACAAUGGCCGGUACAGAGAGAUGCGAGACCGCGAGGUUUUAGCGAAUCCCUUAAAGCCAGUCUCAGUUCGGAUCGUAGUCUGCAAUUCGACUACGUGAAGUCGGAGUCGCUAGUAAUCGCAGAUCAGCACGNGC